GGGUUGUGAGGUUAAGCGACUAAGCGUACACGGUGGAUGCCCUGGCAGUCAGAGGCGAUGAAGGACGUGCUAAUCUGCGAUAAGCGUCGGUAAGGUGAUAUGAACCGUUAUAACCGGCGAUUUCCGAAUGGGGAAACCCAGUGUGAUUCGUCACACUAUCAUUAACUGAAUCCAUAGGUUAAUGAGGCGAACCGGGGGAACUGAAACAUCUAAGUACCCCGAGGAAAAGAAAUCAACCGAGAUUCCCCCAGUAGCGGCGAGCGAACGGGGAGGAGCCCAGAGCCUGAAUCAGUGUGUGUGUUAGUGGAAGCGUCUGGAAAGGCGCGCGAUACAGGGUGACAGCCCCGUACACAAAAAUGCACAUGCUGUGAGCUCGAUGAGUAGGGCGGGACACGUGGUAUCCUGUCUGAAUAUGGGGGGACCAUCCUCCAAGGCUAAAUACUCCUGACUGACCGAUAGUGAACCAGUACCGUGAGGGAAAGGCGAAAAGAACCCCGGCGAGGGGAGUGAAAAAGAACCUGAAACCGUGUACGUACAAGCAGUGGGAGCCUCUUUAUGGGGUGACUGCGUACCUUUUGUAUAAUGGGUCAGCGACUUAUAUUCUGUAGCAAGGUUAACCGAAUAGGGGAGCCGAAGGGAAACCGAGUCUUAACUGGGCGUUAAGUUGCAGGGUAUAGACCCGAAACCCGGUGAUCUAGCCAUGGGCAGGUUGAAGGUUGGGUAACACUAACUGGAGGACCGAACCGACUAAUGUUGAAAAAUUAGCGGAUGACUUGUGGCUGGGGGUGAAAGGCCAAUCAAACCGGGAGAUAGCUGGUUCUCCCCGAAAGCUAUUUAGGUAGCGCCUCGUGAAUUCAUCUCCGGGGGUAGAGCACUGUUUCGGCAAGGGGGUCAUCCCGACUUACCAACCCGAUGCAAACUGCGAAUACCGGAGAAUGUUAUCACGGGAGACACACGGCGGGUGCUAACGUCCGUCGUGAAGAGGGAAACAACCCAGACCGCCAGCUAAGGUCCCAAAGUCAUGGUUAAGUGGGAAACGAUGUGGGAAGGCCCAGACAGCCAGGAUGUUGGCUUAGAAGCAGCCAUCAUUUAAAGAAAGCGUAAUAGCUCACUGGUCGAGUCGGCCUGCGCGGAAGAUGUAACGGGGCUAAACCAUGCACCGAAGCUGCGGCAGCGACACUAUGUGUUGUUGGGUAGGGGAGCGUUCUGUAAGCCUGUGAAGGUGUACUGUGAGGUAUGCUGGAGGUAUCAGAAGUGCGAAUGCUGACAUAAGUAACGAUAAAGCGGGUGAAAAGCCCGCUCGCCGGAAGACCAAGGGUUCCUGUCCAACGUUAAUCGGGGCAGGGUGAGUCGACCCCUAAGGCGAGGCCGAAAGGCGUAGUCGAUGGGAAACAGGUUAAUAUUCCUGUACUUGGUGUUACUGCGAAGGGGGGACGGAGAAGGCUAUGUUGGCCGGGCGACGGUUGUCCCGGUUUAAGCGUGUAGGCUGGUUUUCCAGGCAAAUCCGGAAAAUCAAGGCUGAGGCGUGAUGACGAGGCACUACGGUGCUGAAGCAACAAAUGCCCUGCUUCCAGGAAAAGCCUCUAAGCAUCAGGUAACAUCAAAUCGUACCCCAAACCGACACAGGUGGUCAGGUAGAGAAUACCAAGGCGCUUGAGAGAACUCGGGUGAAGGAACUAGGCAAAAUGGUGCCGUAACUUCGGGAGAAGGCACGCUGAUAUGUAGGUGAAGCGACUUGCUCGUGGAGCUGAAAUCAGUCGAAGAUACCAGCUGGCUGCAACUGUUUAUUAAAAACACAGCACUGUGCAAACACGAAAGUGGACGUAUACGGUGUGACGCCUGCCCGGUGCCGGAAGGUUAAUUGAUGGGGUUAGCGCAAGCGAAGCUCUUGAUCGAAGCCCCGGUAAACGGCGGCCGUAACUAUAACGGUCCUAAGGUAGCGAAAUUCCUUGUCGGGUAAGUUCCGACCUGCACGAAUGGCGUAAUGAUGGCCAGGCUGUCUCCACCCGAGACUCAGUGAAAUUGAACUCGCUGUGAAGAUGCAGUGUACCCGCGGCAAGACGGAAAGACCCCGUGAACCUUUACUAUAGCUUGACACUGAACAUUGAGCCUUGAUGUGUAGGAUAGGUGGGAGGCUUUGAAGUGUGGACGCCAGUCUGCAUGGAGCCGACCUUGAAAUACCACCCUUUAAUGUUUGAUGUUCUAACGUUGGCCCGUGAUCCGGGUUGCGGACAGUGUCUGGUGGGUAGUUUGACUGGGGCGGUCUCCUCCUAAAGAGUAACGGAGGAGCACGAAGGUUGGCUAAUCCUGGUCGGACAUCAGGAGGUUAGUGCAAUGGCAUAAGCCAGCUUGACUGCGAGCGUGACGGCGCGAGCAGGUGCGAAAGCAGGUCAUAGUGAUCCGGUGGUUCUGAAUGGAAGGGCCAUCGCUCAACGGAUAAAAGGUACUCCGGGGAUAACAGGCUGAUACCGCCCAAGAGUUCAUAUCGACGGCGGUGUUUGGCACCUCGAUGUCGGCUCAUCACAUCCUGGGGCUGAAGUAGGUCCCAAGGGUAUGGCUGUUCGCCAUUUAAAGUGGUACGCGAGCUGGGUUUAGAACGUCGUGAGACAGUUCGGUCCCUAUCUGCCGUGGGCGCUGGAGAACUGAGGGGGGCUGCUCCUAGUACGAGAGGACCGGAGUGGACGCAUCACUGGUGUUCGGGUUGUCAUGCCAAUGGCACUGCCCGGUAGCUAAAUGCGGAAGAGAUAAGUGCUGAAAGCAUCUAAGCACGAAACUUGCCCCGAGAUGAGUUCUCCCUGACUCCUUGAGAGUCCUGAAGGAACGUUGAAGACGACGACGUUGAUAGGCCGGGUGUGUAAGCGCAGCGAUGCGUUGAGCUAACCGGUACUAAUGAACCGUGAGGCUUAACCUUACAACGCCGAAGGUGUUU
Molecule: ribosomal RNA, 2929 nt
Filed under: Escherichia coli
Lineage: Bacteria; Pseudomonadati; Pseudomonadota; Gammaproteobacteria; Enterobacterales; Enterobacteriaceae
Description: 23S ribosomal RNA
Rfam family: Bacterial large subunit ribosomal RNA
Source: RNAcentral